Pseudophryne corroboree (corroboree frog) is the source of this 871-nucleotide long non-coding RNA. RefSeq lists it as uncharacterized. The record is from RefSeq and is a predicted model, not a curated record. The transcript is spliced from 3 exons. NCBI's taxonomy places the organism in Eukaryota, Metazoa, Chordata, Amphibia, Anura, Myobatrachidae.
UCGUAACAGUUAUCCCAUCGCCCACACAGGACUCCUCUGUCAUCAUUAGAGUUCACCUGUAGGACCAUGGGCGAAUCUCAAAGGGCACCAACAUUCCAGGAUCCAGACAAAUAGCAACUGAGCCUAAACACCAGAAGCAGCAGCAGCAAUACAGCUGUUUAUGCAGAAUGUCAUUAGGAUGCUACAAUGACACGAAGAAAGGCCAUUUCAGAUGCGGUCUAAAUCCUGGCAGUUGGGAUCUCGACAGGCAGAAGACCGACAGCAGGAUGGGCAGAAUCCAGACGGAUCCCAGAAGUAAGAACUGGCCUCGGAGUUAAGGGCCCCAUACACUACAACGAUAUGUCUGAGGCUGAAGUCGGAUGUAAUUUCUCUUGAACUCCCCCGGGACCUUCCCGGGAGUGAUUCAAUACGAUUUGGUAUUUUGGUGCUAUUUUUGUAUAAGGUAUAUCACAUGCGAUUGAUGAAGCCGCUAUACAUCGCAUGCAAUAUAUCGUAUGGCAUACAAUUGUACCGUGAGAUAUAUAUCUGAUGGGCUGGAUAGAGGGCUACGGGGGCUGGGAGUGUCCUGAGAAUGCCAGUCAAACUUCCCUGUGAUACAUCGCAUGCGAUAUAUCACAAGCACAAAAAACACACUUUUUUGAUCCGAUUCCAUCCAAUUCCGCUAUAUCAUUAGUGCAGCACCAACGACAGACAGCCACGGGGACGCGCAUCAGAUUGGAUACGAUCUAAAACACAUACGAUUGUACACAAUUUCAUACAAUAAAUCAGACGGAUAUAUCGGAAUUGUAUGAAAUCGUGUAAAAUCGUACUAGUGCAUGGGGCCCUUUAGGGUUAGGCACUAGUGGGAAGGUUAGGGUUAGGCUACGGAGGA